CGGAGUGGCGGACGGGUGGGGAAGUACAUCGGAAUCUACUCUGUCGUGGGGGAGUAACGUAGGGAAACUUACGCUAAUACCGCAUACGACCUACGGGUGAAAGCAGGGGAUCUUCGGACCUUGCGCGAUUGAAUGAGCCGAUGUCGGAUUAGCUAGUUGGCGGGGUAAAGGCCCACCAAGGCGACGAUCCGUAGCUGGUCUGAGAGGAUGAUCAGCCACACUGGAACUGAGACACGGUCCAGACUCCUACGGGAGGCAGCAGCC
This 264-nucleotide ribosomal RNA is filed under the name uncultured Stenotrophomonas sp. Its description in RNAcentral is "partial 16S ribosomal RNA". It matches the Rfam family "Bacterial small subunit ribosomal RNA", at positions 91 to 355 of the family's 1533-position model. The record is from RNAcentral. Lineage: Bacteria; Pseudomonadati; Pseudomonadota; Gammaproteobacteria; Lysobacterales; Lysobacteraceae.